RNAcentral lists this ribosomal RNA (1433 nucleotides) under uncultured bacterium. RNAcentral describes it as "bacterial SSU rRNA". It matches the Rfam family "Bacterial small subunit ribosomal RNA". The record is from RNAcentral.
GAUGAACGCUGGCGGUAUGCCUAAUACAUGCAAGUCGUGCGCCCUGCACAGUGUGCUUUUAAAUGUCUGUAACAGAUAGUAAAAGAGCAUAAUGUGCAGGGAGCGGCGGACGGGUGCGUAACACAUGGGAAUCUGCCCCAAACUGAGGGAUAACUACUCGAAAGAGUAGCUAAUACCGCAUAUGGUCUUCGGAUUAAAGCCUUCGGGCGGUUUGGGAGGAGCCUGUGGCAGAUUAGUUAGUUGGUGAGGUAAUGGCUCACCAAGACGAUGAUCUGUAGCUGGUCUGAGAGGAUGAUCAGCCACACUGGGACUGAGACACGGCCCAGACUCCUACGGGAGGCAGCAGUAGGGAAUUUUCCACAAUGGGCGAAAGCCUGAUGGAGCAAUACCGCGUGCAGGAUGACAGCCUUCGGGUCGUAAACUGCUUUUAUACGAGAAGAUUAUGACGGUAUCGUAUGAAUAAGCCUCGGCUAACUCCGUGCCAGCAGCCGCGGUCAGACGGAGGAGGCAAGCGUUAUCCGGAGUGACUGGGCGUAAAGAGAUGCGUAGGCGGUAUGUAAAGCGAACAGUGAAAUCUCAAAGCUCAACUUUGAGGCUACUGUUUGAACUUACAUACUAGAGCAUGAUAGGGGAAACUGGAAUUCCUAGUGUAGGAGUGAAAUCCGUAGAUAUUAGGAGGAACACCAAUGGCGAAGGCAGGUUUCUGGAUCAUUGCUGACGCUCAGGCUCGAAAGUGUGGGUAGCGAACAGGAUUAGAUACCCUGGUAGUCCACACCGUAAACGAUGGAUACUAGCUAGUUGGGGGUAUCGACCCCCUCAGCAGCGAAGCUAACGCGUUAAGUAUCCCGCCUGGGGAGUACGGUCGCAAGAUUAAAACUCAAAGGAAUAGACGGGGACCCGCACAAGCGGUGGAGCGUGUUCUUUAAUUGGAUGAUAAGCCAAGAACCUUACCCAGACUUGACAUCCCGAGAAGGACUGCGAAAGCAGACUGUGCUUUAUUGAACUCGGUGACAGGUGCUGCAUGGCCGUCGUCAGCUCGUGUCGUGGGAUGUUUGGUUAAGUCCAUCAACGAGCGCAACCCCUAUGAUUAGUUGGAUUUUUCUAAUCAGACUGCCUCGGUAACGGGGAGGAAGGAGGGGACGACGUCAGGUCAUUAUUGCCCUUAUGUCUGGGGCGAGAAACGCGCUACAAUGGCCGGUACAAAGGGGAGCGAAGUCGCGAGACGGAGCAAAUCUCAUCAAAGCCGGUCUCAGUUCGGAUUGGAGGCUGAAACCCGCCUCCAUGAAGUCGGAAUCGCUAGUAACCGUGGGUCAGAAUACCGCGGUGAAUACGUUCCCGGGUCUUGUACUCACCGCCCGUCAUACCAUGGAAGUCGCCAACACCCGAAAGCUGAUCAUUAAGAUCGGUCUAAGGUGGGGGAGAUGACUGGGGUA